This 373-nucleotide ribosomal RNA is filed under the name uncultured organism. Its description in RNAcentral is "bacterial SSU rRNA". It matches the Rfam family "Bacterial small subunit ribosomal RNA", at positions 526 to 896 of the family's 1533-position model. The record is from RNAcentral.
CGUAGGGGGCAAGCGUUGUCCGGAUUUAUUGGGCGUAAAGCGCUCGCAGGCGGUUCGUUGCGUCGUGCGUGAAAGACCCCGGCUCAACUGGGGAGGGUCGUGCGAGUACGGGCGAACUUGAGGCCAGUAGGGGGACGCGGAAUUCCGGGUGUAGUGGUGGAAUGCGUAGAGAUCCGGAGGAACACCAGCGGCGAAGGCGGCGUCCUGGACUGGUACUGACGCUCAGGAGCGAAAGCGUGGGGAGCGAUCCGGAUUAGAUACCCGGGUAGUCCACGCCGUAAACGAUGAGGACUAGGUGUCGGGGGUAUCGACCCCCUCGGUGCCGCAGCUAACGCGAUAAGUCCUCCGCCUGGGGACUACGGCCGCAAGGCUA